UACGUAGGCAGCGAGCGUUGUUCGGAGUUACUGGGCGUAAAGGGUGUGUAGGCGGUUGUUUAAGUUUGGUGUGAAAUCUCCCGGCUCAACUGGGAGGGUGCGCCGAAUACUGAAUGACUUGGAGUGCGGGAGAGGAAAGUGGAAUUCCUGGUGUAGCGGUGAAAUGCGUAGAUAUCUGGAGGAACACCGGUGGCGAAGGCGACAUCCUGGACCGGUAUUGACGCUGAGGCGCGAAAGCCAGGGGAGCAAACGGG
This 254-nucleotide ribosomal RNA is filed under the name uncultured bacterium. RNAcentral describes it as "partial 16S ribosomal RNA". It matches the Rfam family "Bacterial small subunit ribosomal RNA", at positions 524 to 776 of the family's 1533-position model. The record is from RNAcentral.